Molecule: ribosomal RNA, 858 nt
Filed under: Triticum aestivum (bread wheat)
Lineage: Eukaryota; Viridiplantae; Streptophyta; Magnoliopsida; Poales; Poaceae
Description: partial small subunit ribosomal RNA
Source: RNAcentral
AUGUCAGCUGCCGAUGUGGCAUUCUUUUUGCAGAAACCCCCCGCACAGCGGCGCCCGGUCUGGAUCGAGGGGAGAAUCCAUCGAGCCCGAGCUCCCACUCGCAUCACCACGACCGCCGGAGCUGCCCCUGCUCGCACCGCCGCGGCCUCUGCUCGUGGCCUCCACCGUCUCCUUCGGGGCCUCUGCAGAACGGAAGCGCCACCCUCCCCCCUCUCCCCGUCCGAGCUCGACGCCACCUCCGCGCUCAUCCCGCGGCUCAUCUCCGAGGGCCAGGUCCCCGCCGCUGGCCGCCUCCUCUCCGCGGCGCUCCUCCUGCCCGGCUCCCCGGAGCGCCUCCCGUUCCCUCCGCUCGCGGAGCACCUCGCCUCCCUCCCCACGCCCACCCCGGCCUUCGCCCUGCUCACCGCGCUCCGCCACCACCCCGUCCGCCCCUCGCCGCUCCCGCUUGCCACCCCGCUCCUCGGCCACCUCCUCGCGAUGCGCCGCGCCCACGAGGCCGCCUCCGUGCUCCGCUGGCUCUGCCGCCCCGACUCCCCACGCCGGCCCGACGCCGCCACCUACGGCAUCGCCGUCGCCCGGUUCUGCAGGCUCGACCCCGGGAGCGCGCUCGUCGCCCUCGGCAAGAUGGCCUCCAACGGGGUCCCGCCCUCGCUGGAGCUGCAGGAGGCGGUGCGACUGCAGGACGCGAGGAUCGAGGAGGCGUGGGCGCUGGAGGAGGCUAUGCGGCCGCUGGAGUCCAAGAAGACGAGAACCAAGGCGGCGCGUCAAGAGAGAGAGCUUCGGGUGAGAGAGAGAGAAGAAAAAAUGGAAGGAGGAAGAGAAGGAGAGAGGCAGGGUGUGAGGACGGCCUGGUCCUAG